UGUUGCCCACUCUGCCCCAGCCUACUACGGCUACGGCGUUGGCUCCCUCGGCUACGGUGCCGGCAGCUACGGUUUCGGCCACGGUCUCCUGGGCUAUGGCCUGAACUACGGCUACGGUCUUGGUUCUCCUCUAAACUACGCCACCCUCCUCCGCAAGAAGAAGUAAAUUUGCGUCUUCUCUACCGUCGGAUCCUACCGAAUCUGCAAAUGCAUGGAGCAGCUUGUUUCAAGCUUUCAAUCAAGUAUAUUGGUUGUGGCCGUGUAAUAAACUGUUCUGUCGAAAA
Long non-coding RNA from Rhipicephalus sanguineus (brown dog tick), 284 nucleotides. RefSeq lists it as uncharacterized. The transcript has 2 exons. The record is from RefSeq and is a predicted model, not a curated record. Lineage: Eukaryota; Metazoa; Arthropoda; Arachnida; Ixodida; Ixodidae.